This 1517-nucleotide ribosomal RNA is filed under the name Mycolicibacterium hippocampi. RNAcentral describes it as "bacterial SSU rRNA". It matches the Rfam family "Bacterial small subunit ribosomal RNA". The record is from RNAcentral. Lineage: Bacteria; Bacillati; Actinomycetota; Actinomycetes; Mycobacteriales; Mycobacteriaceae.
UUGGAGAGUUUGAUUCUGGCUCAGGACGAACGCUGGCGGCGUGCUUAACACAUGCAAGUCGAACGGAAAGGCCCUUCGGGGUACUCGAGUGGCGAACGGGUGAGUAACACGUGGGUGAUCUGCCCUGCACUUUGGGAUAAGCCUGGGAAACUGGGUCUAAUACCGAAUAUUUCCUGCUGGUUGCAUGACUGGUGGGGGAAAGCUUUUGCGGUGUGGGAUGGGCCGCGGCCUAUCAGCUUGUUGGUGAGGUUAUGGCUUACCAAGGCGACGACGGGUAGCCGGCCUGAGAGGGUGACCGGCCACACUGGGACUGAGAUACGGCCCAGACUCCUACGGGAGGCAGCAGUGGGGAAUAUUGCACAAUGGGCGCAAGCCUGAUGCAGCGACGCCGCGUGAGGGAUGACGGCCUUCGGGUUGUAAACCUCUUUCAGUAGGGACGAAGCGAAAGUGACGGUACCUGCAGAAGAAGGACCGGCCAACUACGUGCCAGCAGCCGCGGUAAUACGUAGGGUCCGAGCGUUGUCCGGAAUUACUGGGCGUAAAGAGCUCGUAGGUGGUUUGUCGCGUUGUUCGUGAAAACUCACAGCUUAACUGUGGGCGUGCGGGCGAUACGGGCAGACUGGAGUACUGCAGGGGAGACUGGAAUUCCUGGUGUAGCGGUGGAAUGCGCAGAUAUCAGGAGGAACACCGGUGGCGAAGGCGGGUCUCUGGGCAGUAACUGACGCUGAGGAGCGAAAGCGUGGGGAGCGAACAGGAUUAGAUACCCUGGUAGUCCACGCCGUAAACGGUGGGUACUAGGUGUGGGUUUCCUUCCUUGGGAUCCGUGCCGUAGCUAACGCAUUAAGUACCCCGCCUGGGGAGUACGGCCGCAAGGCUAAAACUCAAAGAAAUUGACGGGGGCCCGCACAAGCGGCGGAGCAUGUGGAUUAAUUCGAUGCAACGCGAAGAACCUUACCUGGGUUUGACAUGCACAGGACGCCGGCAGAGAUGUCGGUUCCCUUGUGGCCUGUGUGCAGGUGGUGCAUGGCUGUCGUCAGCUCGUGUCGUGAGAUGUUGGGUUAAGUCCCGCAACGAGCGCAACCCUUGUCUCAUGUUGCCAGCACGUAAUGGUGGGGACUCGUGAGAGACUGCCGGGGUCAACUCGGAGGAAGGUGGGGAUGACGUCAAGUCAUCAUGCCCCUUAUGUCCAGGGCUUCACACAUGCUACAAUGGCCGGUACAAAGGGCUGCGAUGCCGUGAGGUGGAGCGAAUCCUUUCAAAGCCGGUCUCAGUUCGGAUCGGGGUCUGCAACUCGACCCCGUGAAGUCGGAGUCGCUAGUAAUCGCAGAUCAGCAACGCUGCGGUGAAUACGUUCCCGGGCCUUGUACACACCGCCCGUCACGUCAUGAAAGUCGGUAACACCCGAAGCCGGUGGCCUAACCCCUUGUGGGAGGGAGCCGUCGAAGGUGGGAUCGGCGAUUGGGACGAAGUCGUAACAAGGUAGCCGUACCGGAAGGUGCGGCUGGAUCACCUCCUUU